Molecule: ribosomal RNA, 253 nt
Filed under: uncultured bacterium
Lineage: Bacteria
Description: partial 16S ribosomal RNA
Rfam family: Bacterial small subunit ribosomal RNA
Source: RNAcentral
UACGGAGGGUGCGAGCGUUACCCGGAUUUACUGGGUGUACAGGGCGUGUAGCCGGUCUUUCAAGUCCGAUGCUAAAGACCGAAGCUCAACUUCGGGGGUGCGUUGGAUACUGUGAGGCUAGACGGUCGGAGAGGGUAGCGGAAUUUCCGGAGUAGCGGUGAAAUGCGCAGAGACCGUAGGGAACGCCGAUAGCGAAAGCAGCUACCUGGUCGAUUUGUGACGCUGAGGCGCGAAAGAGUGGGGAGCAAACCGG